UACGAAGGGUGCAAGCGUUGUUCGGAAUUACUGGGCGUAAAGCGCACGUAGGCGGCUUUGUAAGUUAGAGGUGAAAGCCCAGGGCUCAACCCUGGAAUUGCCUUUAAGACUGCAUCGCUUGAAUCAUGGAGAGGUGAGUGGAAUUCCGAGUGUAGAGGUGAAAUUCGUAGAUAUUCGGAAGAACACCAGUGGCGAAGGCGACUCACUGGACAUGUAUUGACGCUGAGGUGCGAAAGCGUGGGGAGCAAACAGG
This 253-nucleotide ribosomal RNA is filed under the name uncultured bacterium. RNAcentral describes it as "partial 16S ribosomal RNA". It matches the Rfam family "Bacterial small subunit ribosomal RNA", at positions 524 to 776 of the family's 1533-position model. The record is from RNAcentral.